This 2704-nucleotide long non-coding RNA is filed under the name Heterocephalus glaber (naked mole-rat). RNAcentral describes it as "lncRNA (ENSHGLG00100028930.2)". Lineage: Eukaryota; Metazoa; Chordata; Mammalia; Rodentia; Bathyergidae. The record is from RNAcentral.
GGGAAUCUGUUCCCCAGACGGGAGGCGUCGGGUGGGGAUGGAAGCGUUAUCAGAGUGCAUGUUCCCCUCUCGGUAACAGACAUGGCUCAGUGUAAAGAAAGGUUUGGCAGAUUCUCCAAGAACCCUGCUAUGUUUAGGGAUGAAUUUAUUAAGUUGAGUAUAGUUUUGUUCUGACUUGAAGGGACAGGACUGCAGUGUGAACGCACUGCUGCCCUCCUCUGUCAUGCCUUUAUGACAAAGGUGAAUUCUCACAAAGGCUGCUGAAGUAGCUGAUGGGUCGGCAGCUCCAGACCACGAUGCUCGGAAGCCUUCUGAGGAAGCAGCACCCCUCAUUGACUUCAAAUGCGACCCUGAAAAUUCUCACAAAAUGGAGAGAAUAGAGCAUUUUGGGACUUGUGUUUCAGAGGAGAUGGGAAGGUGUCAGGUUAAGCCUGUCAAUUAUGACAGGAUGAAAGGGAGGAGCAUCCUGCUGUAUUUUCCAGUCACCUGUCAGAGACCUUCCAAAGAUGGUGUCACCCUCGUAUGGGGGACCCCAGAGGAUGUCGCAUACCACAGAAAACCCACUGCACUGCCAGCCCUUGGAGAAGAAAUUGAAAAUGCACGCGCAACAAUCUCAACAACCAAGGUCACCCGAGCAGCAGCUCUCCGUGCUAGUGAACAUCUGGGAGCGAACGGCCACCACUGUGAGCACCCCUGUAAUUGCAGAGGCCAAAGAGGUUAUACAUGGAAUUACAUAUGACCCAGCAAUACUGCUUUGAUGUAUAUACCUAGGAAAUAUGAGGACAUAUGUCCACACAACCAUGUGUACAUAAAUGCCCACAGCAAUAUUGUUUAUAAGAGCCAAAUUCUCAUCCACAGAAGAAUGGACUAACAAAAUACAGACUAGAAUGGAAUAUUCCAUUCUAGAAUAUAUAAAGGGAAUAUUAAAUAUAUAAAGUAAUAUUAGUGAGCCAUAAAAAGGAAUAAAGUACUGACCACUGCUUCAACAUGGCUGGACCUUGAAGAGAUUAUGCUUAUUGAAAGAAUCCCUCUAGGUCAGCAAGGCCCUAGAUGUCAAAACGUCAGAAUACAGAAAGCAAGACACAGUUGAUACAUCACAAGAGUCAACUGCAGUAGAUCUUAGAUCUUGGGAACCAAGAUGAUCUUGAAAUGAUUUGUUCUCGGGACACAAAGGUGUUGGGAGCUACUGCUGAAGUGCGUAGGAGGCCACCGAUGAAGAGGUUCCCAACUCUUGGGGUAGCCUCGUGUUGAGGAAGUUGGUCUGGAAAGCAAUGACCACAGCCAGAGAGAAGAAGCCAAAACUGCAAGAAUCCGAAGUCCAUGAGGUGCUGAAGACACUAGUGGAAGACACUAGUGUGACUUGCACGUAGAGUGGAAGCAGUGUGCCCAGGGAUUAGAUGCUGUGUAAUGCAUACUGAACUGCGAGUCCCUCACUGAGAUGGUGGCUGACACCUGGUGUUUUUGUCUGUUUAUCUCCAGACCCGUUGCAGUCCUCGUGUUGGAGGCUGCGGGUAUCUGCAGUGCUUUGCCAGUCUGUCUGCGGGUGUCUUCACUGAGUAGUGUUUGGCAGGCAUGAAGGAAGAGCUGGUCUUUGACUGUCUGUAAACUGCACUUCAAGAGCUCAGCUUACACCCACACCCCCACCCACACCCCCACACAUCCUUGGAUCUACUUUUCCAGAUUUUUAAAAUAGCAUAGGCACCCCAUUCAUGUGAGCAGGGAAAUGACUUUGGUUCCUACAAGUGGUGAUCAAAAUACAUGAAUUGAGAUUAUGGCCAGGUGUGGUGGCUCACGUUUGUAAUCUCAGCACUCAAGAGGCUGAGGCAGGAGGGUUUCAGCAAGUUUGAGGCCAGCCUGGGCUGCAUAGUGAGUUCAAGUUCAGCCUGAACUACAUAGUGAGACCCUGUGAUGAAGAAGAAGAAGAAGAAGAGGAAGAAGAAGAGGAAGAAGAGUAGGAAGGGGAAGGAAGAAGAAGAAGGAGAAGAAGAAUUGAGAUUACAUUGGCCUCCUAGAAUGAGUUAAAGACCAUUGCCAAAGGUCAUCCUGUCUCAGGAAAGUCUGCACAGAACUUUCCUGUGGAACAGCUCCUGCAGAAUCGGCACAGGUCUGGACUAUUUGGAUUGUUUCACAAACUAUGGACAGAAUAUAAAAUGCAGUUCUCAAUGACUUUGAAAAGCAAAAGCAGAAGGCAAAUGCAGGAGAGAAAUCAAAGCUUGCGGAAGUGGCCCAUUGGAGAUGAAGUAACUCGUGAAGAACGGAGCCUCAGUCGCCUCACAGCACUGGAGGCUGAGAGGUCCAGGACCAAAGGGCUGCAUCCACUGAGGGCCUCUGUGCCCACGGGAAGCUGAGGCAGCAGGAUCACGAGUGUCAGCCUAGCCUGAGCAACUCAGCGACUUAGCUGGGGAUUUAGCUCAGUGCAGGCCCUGGAAUCAAUUCCUAAUAUAGGACAGGGAAAAGGAGAGAGAACGGGAGUGUUUAAUAAAAUUGAGCUCAAGAUAACUCAUUACCUCACGAACCUGUGAAUCCAUGAAUCCACCGUAUCACUCACUUUCCCACUGCUGGGACAAAAUGCCCAACGCCUACGGCUUAAAGGAGGACAGGUUUAUUUGGCUCAUGGUUUUCUCCAUGGUCAGCUGGCUCCAAGGCAGAAACAAGAUGCUGGAGGGGCGUGGCCAAGGAAAAGAGGCUCCCCUGUGAGCCAGGA